Molecule: ribosomal RNA, 253 nt
Filed under: uncultured bacterium
Lineage: Bacteria
Description: partial 16S ribosomal RNA
Rfam family: Bacterial small subunit ribosomal RNA
Source: RNAcentral
GACAGAGGGUGCAAACGUUGUUCGGAUUUACUGGGCGUAAAGCGCGUGUAGGCGGCCUUGCAAGUCAGUUGUGAAAGCCCGGGGCCCAACCCCGGAAUUGCAUCUGAAACUGCCUGGCUGGAGUCCCGGAGAGGAAGGCAGAAUUCCCGGUGUAGGGGUGAAAUCCGUAGAUAUCGGGAGGAAUACCAGCGGCGAAGGCGGCCUUCUGGACGGUGACUGACGCUGAGACGCGAAAGCGUGGGGAGCAAACAGG